RNAcentral lists this ribosomal RNA (253 nucleotides) under uncultured bacterium. RNAcentral's name for it is "partial 16S ribosomal RNA". It matches the Rfam family "Bacterial small subunit ribosomal RNA", at positions 524 to 776 of the family's 1533-position model. The record is from RNAcentral.
UACGUAGGGUGCGAGCGUUGUCCGGAAUUAUUGGGCGUAAAGGGCUCGUAGGCGGUUUGUCGCGUCGGGAGUGAAAACUCAGGGCUUAACCCUGAGCCUGCUCCCGAUACGGGCAGACUAGAGGUAUGCAGGGGAGAACGGAAUUCCUGGUGUAGCGGUGGAAUGCGCAGAUAUCAGGAGGAACACCGGUGGCGAAGGCGGUUCUCUGGGCAUUACCUGACGCUGAGGAGCGAAAGUGUGGGGAGCGAACAGG